RNAcentral lists this ribosomal RNA (429 nucleotides) under Verrucomicrobiota bacterium. RNAcentral's name for it is "Verrucomicrobia bacterium partial 16S ribosomal RNA". It matches the Rfam family "Bacterial small subunit ribosomal RNA", at positions 355 to 776 of the family's 1533-position model. The record is from RNAcentral. Lineage: Bacteria; Pseudomonadati; Verrucomicrobiota.
UAGGGAAUCUUCCGCAAUGGACGAAAGUCUGACGGAGCAACGCCGCGUGAGUGAAGAAGGAUUUCGGUUCGUAAAACUCUGUUGUUAGGGAAGAAAAAAUGUAUAGUAACUAUAUACAAAAGAGACGGUACCUAACCAGAAAGCCACGGCUAACUACGUGCCAGCAGCCGCGGUAAUACGUAGGUGGCAAGCGUUGUCCGGAAUAAUUGGGCGUAAAGCGCGCGCAGGUGGUUGAGAAAGUCUGAUGUGAAAGCCCACGGCUCAACCGUGGAGAGUCAUUGGAAACUAAUAAACUUGAGUGCAGGAGAGAGACGUGGAAUUCCUGGUAUAGCGGUGAAAUGAGUAGAGAUUAGGAGGAACACCGGUGGCGAAAGCGGCUUUUUGGCCUGCAACUGACACUGAGGCGCGAAAGCGUGGGGAGCAAACAGG